CCCUUAGAUGUUCUGGGCCGCACGCGCGCUACACUGAUUCAUGCAACGAGUUUUGUCCUUGGCUGAAAGGCCUGGGUAAUCUUUGAACGUGAAUCGUGCUGGGGAUAGAUGAUUGCAAUUAUUCAUCUUCAACGAGGAAUUCCUAGUAAACGCAAGUCAUCAGCUUGCAUUGAUUACGUCCCUGCCCUUUGUACACACCGCCCGUCGCACCUACCGAUUGAGUGGUCCGGUGAAAUCUUCGGAUCUGAGAGAUGUUGGAUUAAUUUCUGACGCCUUUUGGAAAAGUUGCUUAAACCUUAUCAUUUAGAGGAAGGUGAAGUCGUAACA
RNAcentral lists this ribosomal RNA (327 nucleotides) under uncultured eukaryote. RNAcentral describes it as "partial 18S ribosomal RNA". It matches the Rfam family "Eukaryotic small subunit ribosomal RNA", at positions 1470 to 1796 of the family's 1831-position model. The record is from RNAcentral.